Teleopsis dalmanni is the source of this 616-nucleotide long non-coding RNA. RefSeq lists it as uncharacterized. NCBI's taxonomy places the organism in Eukaryota, Metazoa, Arthropoda, Insecta, Diptera, Diopsidae. The transcript has 3 exons. The record is from RefSeq and is a predicted model, not a curated record.
ACAUUUUACCAGAGAAGUUAGUUUCUCUAAAUAAACUGAAAUAAAUUGAAAUAAAUUUUUCAGUUUAAAAAUUGAAAACUUCAUUACAGUUUUUAAUUUAAGCAAUUAAACUAAAUCCGCAAAAUGGCUGACAAAAAUAAAAUGAACGCUGCUCAGCGCAAAGCCAAAGCAGAGGCAGAUAAACAGGUGCUCGCCCACGCUAAAACUUUGGAUGAUCUUAAAAUGUGUUGCAAAAUCGCUGAUAAUGAGAGGAAAUUCUAUUUGGGAAAAUUACUUCAAAUAGAUAAACUUUGUAAGGCUCAUCCAAAUGAUCAUCCAGUAAUUCCUCACGUCAUGCGUUCAGCAACUAAGGGUUUGUCAUAUUCUAAAGAUAAAGACGGUGGAACUGAACCAGGUUCAUCUGAUCAACAUUAGAAGCACUUUUAUAUUUUAAAGCUCCUGUUUUUUUUUGUGAUAUAUUCUCUUCGACCACUUUGAGAAAAUGAUUAGAGGGGCUGCAAUAUGUGAACUAUAAAAAUGUCGGGAACGUUGAAAACAUUUACUCAUUUAUUUAAUUAUUCUUGUUGCAUUAUAACCUGUUAAAAUGUAAUGGAAUAAAUAAAAAUAUUUAACUGAA